AACGAACGCUGGCGGCAUGCCUAACACAUGCAAGUCGAACGAGACGGUCGGGUCUAGGGGCGCACGGGGGGGGAAGGCGGGGGAACCUGCCCGUAGGUUCGGAAUAACUCCCCGAAAGGGGUGCUAAUACCGGAGAAUGUCUUAGGGCCAAAGAGUUAUCGCCUCUGGCUGGGCCCGGGUUGGAUUAGUUGGUUGGGAGGGUAAUAGCGUACCAAGGCGACGAUGCCUAGCUGGUCUGAGAGGAUGAUCAGCCACACUGGGACUGAGCCACGGCCCAGACGCCUACGGGAGGCAGCAGUGUGGAAUAUUGGACGCUGGGCGCAGGCCUGAUCCAGCAAUGCCGCGUGAGUGAUGAAGGCCUUAGGGUUGUAAAGCUCUUUUACCCGGGAUGAUAAUGACGGUACCGGGAGAAUAAGCUCCGGCUAACUCCGUG
Molecule: ribosomal RNA, 433 nt
Filed under: uncultured bacterium
Lineage: Bacteria
Description: partial 16S ribosomal RNA
Rfam family: Bacterial small subunit ribosomal RNA
Source: RNAcentral